GUGAAUCAUCGAAUUUUUGAACGCAAAUUGCACUCCCUGGUAUUCCGGGGAGUAUGCCUGUUUGAGGGCCGUUAGAAUAAAAAAUCGAUGCGUCGCUCUUUUUUUAAGGGUGAUCGCGUCGGAAUUGAACCGUCUUUUAAAUUGUAAUUUAUUUUAAAGUGGCUUGAAAUUCAUCCAUCCGGUACGGAUGAAACGGAUUUAAGAUCAAUUUUGAAUGAGAACGCG
RNAcentral lists this unclassified non-coding RNA (225 nucleotides) under Funneliformis mosseae. Its description in RNAcentral is "partial contains 5.8S ribosomal RNA and internal transcribed spacer 2". The stretch from base 1 to 71 matches the Rfam family "5.8S ribosomal RNA", at positions 84 to 154 of the family's 154-position model. Lineage: Eukaryota; Fungi; Glomeromycota; Glomeromycetes; Glomerales; Glomeraceae. The record is from RNAcentral.